GCCUACCCGUGGGCCUCUGCGGGUGCCCAGGAGAGCCCGGGGGUCACUGGGUGAGUCACCUGACAGCCCUGGGACUCUCUGCGGGCGGUUCGCCGGAAACGAACAGCUGAUGCUCGGCAGUUUGGCACGUCCCUUGCUAUGCAGAAAUAAGCCAAUGGAAUCCUUCCCCUAGGACACACCCGUGCUACCUGGCCAAUGGGACAGGCCCAUCUGUGACAUCAUAGAUGAUAAGCAGUUCCCGCUGGGCACCCAGACACACACUGAAUUCACCAUGCCCAGCCUGCUAUGGAUUUUCUGGCUUUGCCAUGGAACCUCUGCNGUGCGCCAAGCCGUGGUGGACGAGCAGGAGAAGGGCAGCGGGCAGACGGCUUGGGGAAACGUGGCGUUCAGCUCGGCUGCUUUUUUGAUCCUGCUGCUUGGGGUGAAAUGGUUCAGCAAAGGCCCUAGUUCAGAAGAGGAAGAAGAAACGAAGGUCACGGACUGCAACGCGCACCCGGUCUGCGCAACGUGCGCUCCUCGGCGGGGCUGCGCCGUCAUACCCAGCCUGGAGUCCCUGGGGCAAAUGGANCAGGAGUUGGUGACGCUGCUUUACAAGGUCCGCAAGCACAAGAUUGCCCUGGCGGCCGGGUGGCUUUCGGAGGAUCAGGCCGACGGAAUGGCGGAGGGCGCUCUCCCGAAUGACUUGGUCAUCUACACCAUCCAAGAAGAGACUUAGCUGUCCGCUGGCGCCCACCAAAGCCCUCGGAAUAAAGUUCUCCAAGAGCGAAUUUUGGGCCA
RNAcentral lists this long non-coding RNA (777 nucleotides) under Salvator merianae (Argentine black and white tegu). RNAcentral's name for it is "lncRNA (ENSSMRG00000020391.1)". The record is from RNAcentral. Lineage: Eukaryota; Metazoa; Chordata; Lepidosauria; Squamata; Teiidae.